This is a long non-coding RNA of Platichthys flesus (European flounder), 511 nucleotides long. RefSeq lists it as uncharacterized. Lineage: Eukaryota; Metazoa; Chordata; Actinopteri; Pleuronectiformes; Pleuronectidae. The transcript has 4 exons. The record is from RefSeq and is a predicted model, not a curated record.
GCACUGCAGUAACCAGGUAAGGGGGGCCCUGGUGUGGAGGGUGUUCAUAGAAUUUUGAACGUGCUAUUAAUUAUUCCUAUGCUGCGGGGCCACAACUGCUCACGCUGGUCCAGUCAAACAGUACCACACGCUCGACAAGUUGAUGCAACCUCAUGUGGUGUUAUUGUGUGUAAAUUAGCAGACAUGAUUCUUAAUGAAGAGGACAUGGAGGACGUUUUUGACAAGUCUUCCAUUUUAAGGAUGAGGACGCAGAUAGGCAAACGGCUGAUCAAAGAAACAGAUGAUUUGACCAACCUAUGCCGAGCGUGUGGUUCAUAUGACACAGAUGUGCAAUGGAUUGCUUGCACACCUUGUGAUCAAUGGUUCCACAGAAGCUGUGUUGGGCAACCACCUGUGGAGGCACCUUUUUAUUGCCCAUUGUGUAUUUAAACCUGUUUAUUAGUAUUUAUUUUUAACCUGCUCCUUGCUUUUAAGGUAGCUUGAUUGAUAAAAUGUCAGACAUGUUUACCCU